This 740-nucleotide ribosomal RNA is filed under the name uncultured bacterium. RNAcentral's name for it is "bacterial SSU rRNA". It matches the Rfam family "Bacterial small subunit ribosomal RNA", at positions 8 to 796 of the family's 1533-position model. The record is from RNAcentral.
AGAGUUUGAUCAUGGCUCAGAGCGAACGCUGGCGGCAGGCCUAACACAUGCAAGUCGAGCGCCCAGCAAUGGGAGCGGCAGACGGGAUAGUAACACGUGGGAACGUACCUUUCAGUUCGGAACAACCAAGGGAAACUUUGGCUAAUACCGGAUACGCCCGUAAGGGGAAAGAUUUAUCGCUGAAAGAUCGGCCCGCGUCUGAUUAGCUAGUUGGUGAGGUAAUGGCUCACCAAGGCGACGAUCAGUAGCUGGUCUGAGAGGAUGAUCAGCCUCACUGGGACUGAGACACGGCCCAGACUCCUACGGGAGGCAGCAGUGGGGAAUAUUGGACAAUGGGCGCAAGCCUGAUCCAGCCAUGCCGCGUGGGUGAUGAAGGCCCUAGGGUUGUAAAGCCCUUUCGGCGGGGAAGAUAAUGACGGUACCCGCAGAAGAAGCCCCGGCUAACUUCGUGCCAGCAGCCGCGGUAAUACGAAGGGGGCUAGCGUUGCUCGGAAUCACUGGGCGUAAAGCGCACGUAGGCGGAUUGCUAAGUCAGGGGUGAAAUCCUGGAGCUCAACUCCAGAACUGCCUUUGAUACUGGCGACCUUGAGUCCGGGAGAGGUGAGUGGAACUGCGAGUGUAGAGGUGAAAUUCGUAGAUAUUCGCAAGAACACCAGUGGCGAAGGCGGCUCACUGGCCCGGUACUGACGCUGAGGUGCGAAAGCGUGGGGAGCAAACAGGAUUAGAUACCCNNGUAGUCC